GAGGAAUAUUGGUCAAUGGGCGCAAGCCUGAACCAGCCAUCCCGCGUGCAGGAAGACGGCCCUAUGGGUUGUAAACUGCUUUUCCAGGGGGAGAAUUUUUCUGUCGUGACAGGAAUUGACGGUACCCUGGGAAUAAGCAUCGGCUAACUCCGUGCCAGCAGCCGCGGUAAUACGGAGGAUGCGAGCGUUAUCCGGAUUUAUUGGGUUUAAAGGGUGCGUAGGCGGAUUGAUAAGUCAGUGGUGAAAACCUGCAGCUUAACUGUAGACUUGCCGUUGAUACUGUCAGUCUUGAAUGUGGUCAAGGUAGGCGGAAUGUGUAAUGUAGCGGUGAAAUGCUUAGAUAUUACACAGAACACCGAUUGCGAAGGCAGCUUACUGGGCCAUUACUGACGCUGAUGCACGAAAGCGUGGGGAUCGAACAG
RNAcentral lists this ribosomal RNA (422 nucleotides) under uncultured bacterium. Its description in RNAcentral is "bacterial SSU rRNA". It matches the Rfam family "Bacterial small subunit ribosomal RNA", at positions 356 to 775 of the family's 1533-position model. The record is from RNAcentral.